This 376-nucleotide ribosomal RNA is filed under the name uncultured bacterium. RNAcentral describes it as "bacterial SSU rRNA". It matches the Rfam family "Bacterial small subunit ribosomal RNA", at positions 57 to 459 of the family's 1533-position model. The record is from RNAcentral.
GCAAGUCGAACGGAUGUAGCAAUACAUUAGUGGCGCACGGGAGAGUAACACGUGGGAACCUACCUUUUGGUUCGGAAUAACGUCGGGAAACUGACGCUAAUACCGGAUAAGCCCUAUGGGGGAAAGAUUUAUUGCCGAAAGAUGGGCCCGCGUUAGAUUAGCUAGUUGGUGAGGUAAUGGCUCACCAAGGCUACGAUCUAUAGCUGGUCUGAGAGGAUGACCAGCCUCACUGGGACUGAGACACGGCCCAGACUCCUACGGGAGGCAGCAGUGGGGAAUAUUGGACAAUGGGGGCAACCCUGAUCCAGCCAUGCCGCGUGAAUGAUGAAGGCCUUCGGGUUGUAAAGUUCUUUUGGCGGGGACGAUGAUGACGGUC